AACGAACGCUGGCGGCAUGCCUAACACAUGCAAGUCGAACGAGACCUGCGGGUCUAGUGGCGCACGGGUGCGUAACGCGUGGGAACCUGCCCUUAGGUUCGGAAUAACUCCCCGAAAGGGGUGCUAAUACCGGAUAAUGUCUUCGGACCAAAGAUUUAUCGCCUUUGGAUGGGCCCGCGUUGGAUUAGCUAGUUGGUAGGGUAAAAGCCUACCAAGGCGACGAUCCAUAGCUGGUCUGAGAGGAUGAUCAGCCACACUGGGACUGAGACACGGCCCAGACUCCUUCGGGAGGCAGCAGUGGGGAAUAUUGGACAAUGGGCGAAAGCCUGAUCCAGCAAUGCCGCGUGAGUGAUGAAGGCCUUAGGGUUGUAAAGCUCUUUUACCCGGGAUGAUAAUGACAGUACCGGGAGAAUAAGCUCCGGCUAACUCCGUG
RNAcentral lists this ribosomal RNA (433 nucleotides) under uncultured bacterium. RNAcentral describes it as "partial 16S ribosomal RNA". It matches the Rfam family "Bacterial small subunit ribosomal RNA", at positions 29 to 507 of the family's 1533-position model. The record is from RNAcentral.